Molecule: ribosomal RNA, 253 nt
Filed under: uncultured bacterium
Lineage: Bacteria
Description: partial 16S ribosomal RNA
Rfam family: Bacterial small subunit ribosomal RNA
Source: RNAcentral
UACGUAGGUGGCAAGCGUUGUCCGGAAUUAUUGGGCGUAAAGCGCGCGCAGGCGGUCCUUUAAGUCUGAUGUGAAAGCCCACGGCUCAACCGUGGAGGGUCAUUGGAAACUGGGGGACUUGAGUGCAGGAGAGAAGAGUGGAAUUCCACGUGUAGCGGUGAAAUGCGUAGAGAUGUGGAGGAACACCGGUGGCGAAGGCGGCUACCUGGACAGAAACUGACGCUGAGGCGCGAAAGCUAGGGGAGCAAACAGG